AUUGAACGCUGGCGGCAUGCCUUACACAUGCAAGUCGAACGGCAGCACGGGGGCAACCCUGGUGGCGAGUGGCGAACGGGUGAGUAAUACAUCGGAACGUGUCCUGUAGUGGGGGAUAGCCCGGCGAAAGCCGGAUUAAUACCGCAUACGCUCUACGGAGGAAAGGGGGGGAUCUUAGGACCUCCCGCUACAGGGGCGGCCGAUGGCAGAUUAGCUAGUUGGUGGGGUAAAGGCCUACCAAGGCGACGAUCUGUAGCUGGUCUGAGAGGACGACCAGCCACACUGGGACUGAGACACGGCCCAGACUCCUAAGGGAGGCAGCAGUGGGGAAUUUUGGACAAUGGGGGCAACCCUGAUCCAGCAAUGCCGCGUGUGUGAAGAAGGCCUUCGGGUUGUAAAGCACUUUUGUCCGGAAAGAAAACGCCGUGGUUAAUACCCGUGGCGGAUGACGGUACCGGAAGAAUAAGCACCGGCUAACUACGUG
This 484-nucleotide ribosomal RNA is filed under the name uncultured bacterium. RNAcentral's name for it is "partial 16S ribosomal RNA". It matches the Rfam family "Bacterial small subunit ribosomal RNA", at positions 29 to 507 of the family's 1533-position model. The record is from RNAcentral.